This 704-nucleotide long non-coding RNA is filed under the name Homo sapiens (human). Its description in RNAcentral is "HSALNT0346431". The record is from RNAcentral. Lineage: Eukaryota; Metazoa; Chordata; Mammalia; Primates; Hominidae.
UUUGUGAACUCUUGUCAUGUUUGAUUUUCAAGGGAAGUUAUUUUCUUUAACAAGUAAAUGGGCAUUUAUAUAAUAAGGUGGCAAAUCAUAUUGGAAGUGAACAUCAUGAAGUUCUCUUUAACUCUGAGGAAGGCUUUCAGGCUCUGGAUGAAGUCAUAUUUUCCUUGGAAACUUACAACAUUACAACAGCUGAUGCUUCAGUAAGUAAGAAUGAGAUAGAAAAACAUCUCCUGAGAGAGACAUUUGAGGACUCCAAUCUGAUACUCAAAGAGAUUCUCUGGUGACCAAAAGAAGUCUUCAGUGAUGGAAUAACUUCAGUUAAGAAUUCCUGGUUUAAGAUUUUACAGAAAUAUGUUGAACAUCAGGUUGAUGAUGCAAUGAUGGCAAAUGCAGCCCAGAAAUUUCCCUUCAAUACUCCUAAAACCAAAGGAUACUACUACCAUCAAAUCCUUGAACACCAUUUCCCAGGCCAGGCUGACUGGCUGAGCCAUUACUGGGUGCCCAAGUGGAUCGAUGCCACUGACCCUUCUGCCCACACACUGACCCACUACAAGUCAGCUGCCAAAGCUUAGGUGCUCUUUAUGCUGUAAUAUGAAAGCAAAUAUUUCUUCUUAUUGUAUGGGGACUAUGGGUAGAUAGGGGAACAAUGAAAGUCAACUCAGGCUAACUUGAAUGUGAAAAAAAUAAAAGUCCUAAAUCUAAAA